Molecule: ribosomal RNA, 484 nt
Filed under: uncultured bacterium
Lineage: Bacteria
Description: partial 16S ribosomal RNA
Rfam family: Bacterial small subunit ribosomal RNA
Source: RNAcentral
GACGAACGCUGGCGGCGUGCUUAACACAUGCAAGUCGAACGAUGAAGCCGGAGCUUGCUCUGGUGAAUUAGUGGCGAACGGGUGAGUAACACGUGAGUAACCUGCCCUUGACUCUGGGAUAACUGCGGGAAACUGUAGCUAAUACCGGAUACGACCCUCGGAGGCAUCUCCUGGGGGUGGAAAGAAUUUCGGUCAAGGAUGGACUCGCGGCCUAUCAGCUAGUUGGUGAGGUAAAGGCUCACCAAGGCGACGACGGGUAGCCGGCCUGAGAGGGUGACCGGCCGAACUGGGACUGAGACACGGCCCAGACUCCUACGGGAGGCAGCAGUGGGGAAUAUUGCACAAUGGGCGCAAGCCUGAUGCAGCAACGCCGCGUGAGGGAUGACGGCCUUCGGGUUGUAAACCUCUUUUAGCAGGGAAGAAGCGAAAGUGACGGUACCUGCAGAAAAAGCACCGGCUAACUACGUGCCAGCAGCCGCCGUAA